RNAcentral lists this unclassified non-coding RNA (333 nucleotides) under soil metagenome. RNAcentral's name for it is "partial contains 5.8S ribosomal RNA, internal transcribed spacer 2, and large subunit ribosomal RNA". The stretch from base 1 to 120 matches the Rfam family "5.8S ribosomal RNA", at positions 35 to 154 of the family's 154-position model. The record is from RNAcentral.
GAUGAAGAACGUAGCAAAAUGCGAUAAGUAAUGUGAAUUGCAGAAUUCAGUGAAUCAUCGAAUCUUUGAACGCACAUUGCGCCCGCCAGUAUUCUGGCGGGCAUGCCUGUUCGAGCGUCAUUUCAACCCUCAAGCUCAGCUUGGUGUUGGGACUCGCGGUAACCCGCGUUCCCCAAAUCGAUUGGCGGUCACGUCGAGCUUCCAUAGCGUAGUAAUCAUACACCUCGUUACUGGUAAUCGUCGCGGCCACGCCGUAAAACCCCAACUUCUGAAUGUUGACCUCGGAUCAGGUAGGAAUACCCGCUCAACUUAAGCAUAUCAAUAAGCGGAGGA